RNAcentral lists this ribosomal RNA (333 nucleotides) under Staphylococcus aureus. RNAcentral describes it as "bacterial SSU rRNA". It matches the Rfam family "Bacterial small subunit ribosomal RNA", at positions 1 to 323 of the family's 1533-position model. Lineage: Bacteria; Bacillati; Bacillota; Bacilli; Caryophanales; Staphylococcaceae. The record is from RNAcentral.
UUUAUGGAGAGUUUGAUCCUGGCUCAGGAUGAACGCUGGCGGCGUGCCUAAUACAUGCAAGUCGAGCGAACGGACGAGAAGCUUGCUUCUCUGAUGUUAGCGGCGGACGGGUGAGUAACACGUGGAUAACCUACCUAUAAGACUGGGAUAACUUCGGGAAACCGGAGCUAAUACCGGAUAAUAUUUUGAACCGCAUGGUUCAAAAGUGAAAGACGGUCUUGCUGUCACUUAUAGAUGGAUCCGCGCUGCAUUAGCUAGUUGGUAAGGUAACGGCUUACCAAGGCAACGAUGCAUAGCCGACCUGAGAGGGUGAUCGGCCACACUGGAACUGAG